This 402-nucleotide ribosomal RNA is filed under the name uncultured bacterium. RNAcentral describes it as "bacterial SSU rRNA". It matches the Rfam family "Bacterial small subunit ribosomal RNA", at positions 355 to 748 of the family's 1533-position model. The record is from RNAcentral.
UGGGGAAUUGUUCGCAAUGGGCGCAAGCCUGACGACGCAACGCCGCGUGGAGGAUGAAGAAUUUCGGUUCGUAAACUCCUUUCGACCGAGAUGAACACCUCGCGAUCUAAUACAUCGCGGGGCUGACAGUAUCGAGAGAAGAAGCCCCGGCUAACUCUGUGCCAGCAGCCGCGGUAAUACAGGGGGGGCAAGCGUUGUUCGGAAUUACUGGGCGUAAAGGGUUCGUAGGUGGCCGACUAAGUCAGACGUGAAAUCCCUCAGCUUAACUGGGGAACUGCGUCUGAUACUGGUUGGCUUGAGUGCAGGAGAGGAACGCGGAAUUCCAGGUGUAGCGGUGAAAUGCGUAGAUAUCUGGAGGAACACCGGUGGCGAAGGCGGCGUUCUGGACUGUAACUGACACUG